This 254-nucleotide long non-coding RNA is filed under the name Sorghum bicolor (sorghum). Its description in RNAcentral is "long non-coding RNA (SBIC_LNC011447)". Lineage: Eukaryota; Viridiplantae; Streptophyta; Magnoliopsida; Poales; Poaceae. The record is from RNAcentral.
AACUCAGCACAUGGUAACUAAAGCCGGAGCGAAGAUCUUCACUUCUUCCUCUUCUUUGGGGGCUGGAGUGAGUCUUCAUCAUCAUCUUCCUCCUCGUCCUCAUCCUGGUCGUCGUCUUCCUCCUCAUCUACACCAUCCUCCUCCUCGUCAUCCCCAUUGUCAUCCCCAUUGUCGUCGUCCUCAUCAUCCCCAUUGUCAUCGUCAUCGUCGUCAUCGUCAUCGCCGCCACCACCCUCCUGGUCUUCGGGAUCUUC